UGGGGAAUAUUGGACAAUGGGCGAAAGCCUGAUCCAGCCAUGCCGCGUGUGUGAAGAAGGUCUUCGGAUUGUAAAGCACUUUAAGUUGGGAGGAAGGGCAGUAAGCGAAUACCUUGCUGUUUUGACGUUACCGACAGAAUAAGCACCGGCUAACUCUGUGCCAGCAGCCGCGGUAAUACAGAGGGUGCAAGCGUUAAUCGGAAUUACUGGGCGUAAAGCGCGCGUAGGUGGUUCGUUAAGUUGAAUGUGAAAGCCCCGGGCUCAACCUGGGAACUGCAUCCAAAACUGGCGAGCUAGAGUAGGGCAGAGGGUGGUGGAAUUUCCUGUGUAGCUGUGACAUGCGUAGAUAUAGGAAGGAACACCAGUGGCGAAAGCGACCACCUGGGCUCAUACUGACACUGAGGUGCGAAAGCGUGGGGAGCAAACAGG
RNAcentral lists this ribosomal RNA (429 nucleotides) under Pseudomonadota bacterium. RNAcentral describes it as "Proteobacteria bacterium partial 16S ribosomal RNA". It matches the Rfam family "Bacterial small subunit ribosomal RNA", at positions 355 to 776 of the family's 1533-position model. Lineage: Bacteria; Pseudomonadati; Pseudomonadota. The record is from RNAcentral.